This is a long non-coding RNA of Sarcophilus harrisii (Tasmanian devil), 540 nucleotides long. RefSeq lists it as uncharacterized. Lineage: Eukaryota; Metazoa; Chordata; Mammalia; Dasyuromorphia; Dasyuridae. The record is from RefSeq and is a predicted model, not a curated record. The transcript has 3 exons.
ACAAGGUGGGAAUGUGCGAGCAGGUUUUUUGGACUUAUUACUUCAUGAUUUAUUCCUAGGAGACAAGAUGCAUAUCAAAACCUUUUAGCAGACUAGCGGAUUCAGCCUUCUCGAGAAGGGCCAUUCCAAAUACUGCUGAACAUUCUGACUGCCAUCAAGAUUGGAGAAAAAGAUUUGGAUUCAUUGUUCCCACGGAAAAAAUGGAAAAAUUGCAACCUGUUAGCAACCUUAUGAAAGAAUACUUCAAAGUAUGACCAAUAAGAGAAAUCAGUUACCCUGAGGUUUCACUUCAUAUCUAGAUAAUUGGCAAAGAUGACAAAAUGACAAGUUUUCCCUUAAAGAAGAGAUAUGAGAAGACACUAUCCUAACUUCUUCAUAUAGAAUGUAGUCUACCUGUGGAUUAUACAAUAUCAGUUUUUUUCAAUGUAUUGAGCAGUUUUGCUGAUUUUUUUCUCUUCUUGUCCCCCCCCUUUAAAAAAAAUUCUGUGUCAAGUUCUGAAUUACAAGGAAGUUGUUGUAAAAACAGAAAAGACAAUAAAA